UGUCUAUGCUUUUCCGGGUGGAACUCUCACCAGCCAAUCGUAUAUCAGAUUUUCUGCGUUGCACCUUUUGAUUGGCAACCUCUUACUUUUUCCAGGUACAUUAUUUUUUUUACUCGGGGUUCGUUUUGCAUUAUUUUCAGUUUAGUGGUAGAAAUUUGUCGCAUGAUUUUUGAGUGCUUUCCAAUAUUUGGAAAAUGAACGACAACUUGAUCGUGUCUCACAGCAUUUCAAACCAGUAUAUUGUGUGUCAGAGUUUAUUAUUUAGCUUGAAAAUUGGCCCAUGAUUUUUUUUGAAAGUGAUUGUUUUACUCGGCGUUUAUUCUUCCUAUGUUCAUUCCGGUGGUUAAAAAAAAAUCACCUCUCCGAUUUCGGACCACUUCCGUGGUGGUACUUUUAACAUUUUGAUGGACAGAUUCCUCAACCAAUCAUCGCGCUCUUCACAUACUGGGGACAAUUGAAAAUGGCGUAGCUCACUUGGCUGGACGCAGGGAGGCGAAAAGGGGACAUUUUUUGGUCUCCUUGUCCCUCUCCCACAAUGCCGAGUGAAAGGUUUUCUGCUAUGGCGAUAUCCUCGACAUGUUUUAGUGGAGAAAAUGAGAGGUGGCCCGGCAGAACUGCCCGUGUCACCGUAGAAUACGAAGACGCGGACCAGCCAUUGUUAAGCCUCAAAACAUCUCUGCAGCAUCCACACCACCAGGAGCACUCCAAGGAUGGAGGCACUGGAGAACACAUCUGAUCCACACCAGAGGAAUGUGCUUGAACAACAACAACCACCCUCUCCUGGGAUGAAGAAAAAUCAUAAUUUUCCAUGGAGGACCAGAUUUUUUUUGAUUGGGGGUGGGGUGGGGGGGGCACUCUCCCUGCCCCAACGCCUGCCAUCCUCUUGUAACAUGUCCGUGGUUUGGACCAAGCCUGUGGACUGACCUGGAGCUAAUACAGCAAGUUACACUCAUUCUUAAAAUUAUUAUGAUUAUUUGUUCUUCUUUUUAAUUUUAUUACAGAAAUUCCACAAACAGAAGUCAAUCUGAUAUAUAGAUUAUGAGAUAGAAAUUAUAUAAUUAACCAUUUAUCCGUACAUUAUGGUGAACUACAUGGAAAAUCCCUGUGUUAGUAUUUUGGGUGUUUUUUUUUGUUUUUGUUAACAACAAAUGCGUCGCGAAAUGAGUGGGCUAACCUCAUUUGUCAUUUGGAUGUCCUUUAAAUGACGACUGGUCGUAGUCUACUCCGUACAAAUAUGAAGCACAUAGUCUAAGACAUGCAAAACUGUAGCAAGUGUGAUUUUCAUCUUUUUUUUUUGCUUUCUUAGAGAAGGAUGAGCAGCAGGUUCAGUUCAUUUCGAGAUAUGUAUGAGUGUCUAUAUUUGGGCUGCGACUAACAAUUGUUUUAAUCGUCGAUUUAAUGUGGUGAUUAUUUUUGUUUGAUUCAUUCAACUGGAAAAAAAAAAGCUAAUUUCCAUACCGUCAUUCAAAAACGGAUCAUUAUUUCAUAUAAACGUAAAUUGAUUUUAUUGUGGUUUGGUUUUUGGAAAGAACAAAGAUAAUGAGUUUGCUCUCAUGGAAGACGACAGAAAUUGGACAUUGCAAUUCUAAAGAGUUGGACGAUUUUAAGUGAUUAAGGGAUAAAUCGAUUAUCUAAGUAGUUGUUGAUUCAUUUGGUCAUCACAGUUAGUCGAUUAAUUGGGUUUGAGUUUGAUCGCAAAAUAAAUCAAAUAUUUCCAUUGAGGAUCACAAAAAAAUAGUUUGUCCAAUGUGAAGUGUUCAAAAUACGUCCUCGUUUGAAAACAAAAGAAUCCUCUGCUUCUACUGUUAUUUUCAAUGAGGGGGGAAAAAAAUGCAAUUCAGUAGUUAAAAAAAAUGUGUACGAUAAUUGAGUCACACACAUUAGUAUUGAUUAUACCGAUUUAGGUAUAAUAAAUAAGUGUUCAACUUUUCGCAUAAUGCAUGUUCUAUUUAUGAUGCUAAUUUUAAAAUAAGAUGUCUUGUUUGUCUUAUUUUAUUCAUUUGAGCAUGAUACCGUAAAGAGAAAUUGUCAUGCUAACAUUUUAAUAAGUAAAAUUAAGCCAUCAUAAAAAAAAGCAAAUUUUUAGUUGGAUAAACAGGUAUGUUAUGCUAAUUUUAUGACGGUAUAGUCAAGAAAACAAAAAAAUUGUUGUAUUUGUGUAUAUUAGUUUAAUGUCAUUUUAUUUGUCCAAAAUUGAGUAUGAAUAAAAAUACAUUUGAUUUGCAUUUAUUUCAAUUCGCACUCAAAUAAAAGUAAAUGAUUUGCUUCGGUGGAUGUAUUUUAUCCUCUGAAUAUUAUCUUAAUGAAUUCACUUGAAAGAAAAAAAAAGAUAAAUUUUAUUUUAUUUUUUUUAACAAUGCAAAUUUCAGUAUCGCUAAAAUGUAUUCCUCAUCGUCAUUUCAGUGCAGUUAACACAAUAAAAACUUUUAUUUCCGUACGUUUGUCGAAAACGAAAAACUUUGAUCGGGCAGCGUGCAAUAUUGCAUCCAAACAUGUCACCUUGUUGACUGAUGCUGUGUGUAUUUAUAUGAUAUUGUGAAAAACAAACAAACAAACAAAACAAGUGACACGUUGUUUGAAAAGCAACAAAAUCACCAACGUCUUCCAUUUAAAAUUUGUAUAGUCUCAUUUUAGUCUUCUGCAUAUAGAUGCUCAUAAUUAACAUCAUAUAUAGUCGCCAUAUAAUGCAUGAUGCCUGCUUUAAUGCAACGCAGAUGAAUAAUCUCCCCGGAAAAAAAAAAAUAUACAUAAUAAAAAACAUUUAGAUGCAUGAUUCACCCUUUUCCUUUCAUAAAUGCACUCGAGCAACAAAUAAUUCCAAUAAUAGCACAAUUGAAUCAAAACGAUGGGACCGAAAUGAUUUUCCGAAGGAUUUUUCAGCCCUUUUGCGACAUGGUGUUGUACAUACGUGACGUGUAAUCCAGAAAAUUGUACAGGAUUAUUGAGGUUAGAUUAGCAGCAAUAAAUGCAUGAUUUCCGGCUCUCGCUUUUGGUGGCGGAGGCGCAAAUGCCUGAUUGCGACUUUCUGUUUUCAAAAUAGAUUUUGUCAGGCAUCUCCUGUCUCGUUGUGUUUCUCAGGAACGGAAAACGGUGUUGGGGUCAAUUUUGAGAUGCGCCGGAAAAUGGAAAAUCUACCAAUAAACCUUAUUUUGAAAAUUUGACGAAAGAAAACUACAUUUCACUCUUAAAAAAAAAGGGUCAAUCUGACCCGGUUUAUCAACUGUCCAACCGAUUUAACUAUCCAGAACCUGUAAGGAAAAGGGGAGGGAAUCACGUUCAAUGGAGCUUUAAGUAGGUUUCUUUGGAAACGGUCUUCUACCGGGUCAAUUUGACCCAGUGCAUAUUUCAUUCAGUUGAAUGCAUUGACUUGCCGAAUUCAACCAAAAGUGUCCCCAAAAAAAGUAAAUAUGUCAAUGAAGAUUGUUUCUAAGUGAGUAACUCUAUUAAUCGCCGUUUCAAAAUCCGAUAACCGUUGUUGUUUUUGUGACGUUUCAAAAAGAAAUACGGUACUUUAAAAAAAAAGUAUUGAUUUAACUUUUAAUCAGGUCAAUAUGACCCUAGGCAUGUUUCAUAAUCCAUGUCAGAAAUGCACCGGAGUGUUUAAAAUCUAAAGAUGAAGACAUUUCAUGCCGAAAAACAAAUUUAACAUGUCAAUGGUAUGUUAGGAGAUGACCUCAAGGGUCACUUUGACCCACCAGUGAACAGGAGGGUUAUAUGUGUUAUUGUUUGUUUUGGUGGGGUUCUUGAUUGAUACACAAGAUUUUUUACAUGCUUCAGAACGUCCAAAGUCAUUUUCCAAGCACUUUUUCUGCCUUGCACUGUCAACCACCAUCCUGUGUUUAUGUAUUUAUUCAUCAUGCCUUAUUGGGGACUUAUGACAUCAUGUUUCAAGUCAGUAAGUACUAAAACUAAAAAAGAUGAUGCAUGAUUUUUUUUUUAGCAGACCUGAUUGUAAUGCAUGCAAUAAUCCACAAGUGUGUCAUACUGUGUGCGAAGGGGAAUUUGUUCAUAUUGUAGCGAGCAUGUUGUAGCUUUCCCAAAUGGAAACCAUUUCUUUGUUCACCGAGGUGUACAAACUAUGCACUCCGCAACUAUGAGGAGGAAAACGGGCAUGCUUAUUAAUGUUCUUGUUCAAUGGUUUUGUAUGACUAACAAAAAAAAAUGUAUUCCUCAAAACUCAGCAAUAGUAAUGAGAAUAAAAUGCAGCAUGGUGCCAAUUAUGA
Long non-coding RNA from Hippocampus zosterae (dwarf seahorse), 4223 nucleotides. RefSeq lists it as uncharacterized. The record is from RefSeq and is a predicted model, not a curated record. NCBI's taxonomy places the organism in Eukaryota, Metazoa, Chordata, Actinopteri, Syngnathiformes, Syngnathidae. The transcript is spliced from 2 exons.